CAAAGAAUAGUUUAGUGUUAGAACUUUAGCUUUGGGGGCUAGAGGUGGGGAUUUAAGUCCCUCUUCUUUGA
RNAcentral lists this transfer RNA (71 nucleotides) under Rudarius ercodes (whitespotted pygmy filefish). RNAcentral's name for it is "tRNA-Thr". It matches the Rfam family "tRNA". Rfam says of the family: Transfer RNA (tRNA) molecules are approximately 80 nucleotides in length. The record is from RNAcentral. Lineage: Eukaryota; Metazoa; Chordata; Actinopteri; Tetraodontiformes; Monacanthidae.